This 1601-nucleotide long non-coding RNA is filed under the name Cervus hanglu yarkandensis (Yarkand deer). RNAcentral describes it as "lncRNA (ENSCHYG00000020160.1)". Lineage: Eukaryota; Metazoa; Chordata; Mammalia; Artiodactyla; Cervidae. The record is from RNAcentral.
CCACAGUCUCAGAAGAGCUCCAUUCGAAUUAAUUCUUUGCAGGGGAGUCAUCUCCCCUCUUCCCUGUCUCUCUCCUUAAAAUGUCACCAGAGAGGAACGCGCACAUGCCUCUGAAGGGGACAGGCAGAGUGGCAUUAUUCAAGAGAACUUCCAGUGCUCUUGUCUUCAAGAGGGUUAUGAGCUACAGGCCAAAAGAGCUCUGCUGAUUCAUCAGGUCCUCUGACCGUUGUACAAUGUGAAGGCACGAAGAAUAACCUGGAUGGUCUCAAGACGGCUAAUACAUUCUUCACUUAAUAAUAAACACGUUAGUCAGGGGAAGUACUGAAUUUCACUUUUCUAUUGCAAACUCUGACUCAUCGCAGAGGCAAGCAAGGAAAUAUUCAAAGUCAACUUUUACCUCCAUCUAGUCUGCUUGGGGUCAUCAAAAGCUAGAUGUCCUGUGAACCAGAUCAUCCAUUUUCACUGCCCACACUAUCCAUUUGUUUUCUUCAAACAGCAUUUUACAAGAAAUGGGAACAAUAGCGAAGACAGGAAGAGGGUAAACCAAACCAUUCAAUUACUCUCGAGUGGUCAGAUCUGCUUACACAGGAGCAAAAGUCUGCAAACGACAGCUUUUCUUCCUGAUCCUUUAAGCACUGCUUUCCGCUAUUUCAACUUUUGACAACAGGUCACUCACACCAUGCUGAAAUCUCUACAGGCAACUUCAGAUGGGUUCCUACUACAACUGAAUAUCAAAGCUGGAGAGGAAGACUGACUCAAGAGAAAAGAGUUUCAGCUGAAAACCAAAGUGAAGGCAAAGGAAAAUGCCACAGUGGAGUUUUGACACUCACUGUGCAUUUAAAUAUCCAUCCAGUCCUGGUCUGUGGCAGAGGGUCCCAUCCUCCUAGCAUGUACGUUGCACAAGGAGCACAAGGACCCACCAUGAUCUCCAUUAUUCCCACCCAGACUAUGAGCUGCCUGAGGACAGGCUUGGAUCUUAUUCCCCACUGUCUAUCACAGUUCCAGAAUAUAGUUGCUACCCAGUCAAUAUCCAUUUAAUGAGUAAAAACUUGUACCAAUUUUCUUGCAUUCCUUCUCCUUUGCAUUAAAUUUUAAUUAAAACAGAUUCCUUUUCAGGCCUGUCUACAUUUUCUGUUGUCAAAUGUUGCCUAAUUCAUACAUGUCUUUUACUGACAUUCCUUCUCUCGGGGGAAAAUGGGAGGAAAGAAAAGAAAAAUUACCUAUUUUUUGGUGGAACUUCUCAAAUCUUGUCUCUUUGCAAAAAGAAGAUGGCCUUUGAACAUCCCUCAGUAUAAAUACUCCAUGUGUAGUAAAAGCACAGAUUUUGAAAAAUCUGUCCCUCUUCAUCAGCACUUCUUGUUCAGUCAUUACUGAAAUAUUUAUUCCUGGGAAGUUUCCCCACUGCAAAUAAUCCCCAUGAGAAGCAGCUUAAUCAGUCACUUGCUUCCCAAGAACGUGGGUGUGUUGCCAACCUCUUCAAAACUGGCUUGGUGCCCUGAUGAUGUUAUAUGUAAAUACAAUUUUAAAGAAAGAAGCUGUUGAAACAGGACAUGUGCCCAGUGUGUGUACAUUAUGGAAGAGUUUUACGUGGCAGUACAAAC